This is a long non-coding RNA of Pyrus x bretschneideri (Chinese white pear), 649 nucleotides long. RefSeq lists it as uncharacterized. The record is from RefSeq and is a predicted model, not a curated record. NCBI's taxonomy places the organism in Eukaryota, Viridiplantae, Streptophyta, Magnoliopsida, Rosales, Rosaceae. The transcript is spliced from 2 exons.
AGUUCGCGGGUAAACCUCAGAAUUUUUGGGAUAUCCCUCCCUCUCUCGUCUUUCUCUGUUAACUCUCUGCUCUACAUCGCACCCUUACAACUGGAAAUCUCAAAUUCCGUUCACGCCGUCGUCGUCUCCAUCACCGACGCAAGCUCAAGUCCAGCGUCGUCAUCCUCUCUCUUCGUUCUCACCUCUUCCCUUUCUCGCUCUGCUUAUCUCGAUACCUCUCCAUCUCCCAGUCCAACUUCCUCGACUAUGGUUUCCAUGGCCAUAGGAGCCACGACGUGACAGGGUUUUCUCGACUCCCGUCGUCAGCCUUCACGCCACCACUGCCAGGUUCCAUCCUCCCUCAUUGAUGGCGAGCGAAGAUGGUGUCGUGGGCUUCUCAUCACGGUUGCAGGAUUUACUUGUUGGAAGAUUGGAGGAUCCGAAUUUUUCCACUCCAACAGUUGUCGCCAUCUGUGGGACCGUCCAAGAAUAGAGAAGAAUUCCUAUACUCCUACUUUUCAGUUUCACGAAUUAAAUGAGAAUCAUUGCAGUGGCAUCUUAUGAUUGCAAUUCUUCCUGCCAUAAUUCUAAAGAAUUGUCACAAUCCUUUGUCUCAUUGGAAUUUCAUUUGGAAAAAAAGCUUUCACAAUUUCAAGUUUUUUUCGGCGUA